GGGGAAUAUUGGACAAUGGGCGAAAGCCUGAUCCAGCCAUGCCGCGUGUGUGAAGAAGGUCUUCGGAUUGUAAAGCACUUUAAGUUGGGAGGAAGGGCAGUAAGUUAAUACCUUGCUGUUUUGACGUUACCAACAGAAUAAGCACCGGCUAACUACGUGCCAGCAGCCGCGGUAAUACGUAGGGUGCAAGCGUUAAUCGGAAUUACUGGGCGUAAAGCGUGCGCAGGCGGUCUUGUAAGACAGAGGUGAAAUCCCCGGGCUCAACCUGGGAACGGCCGUUGUGACUGCAAGGCUGGAGUGCGGGAGAGGGGGAUGGAAUUCCGCGUGUAGCAGUGAAAUGCGUAGAUAUGCGGAGGAACACCGAUGGCGAAGGCAAUCCCCUGGGCCUGCACUGACGCUCAUGCACGAAAGCGUGGGGAGCAAACA
RNAcentral lists this ribosomal RNA (426 nucleotides) under uncultured Burkholderiales bacterium. Its description in RNAcentral is "bacterial SSU rRNA". It matches the Rfam family "Bacterial small subunit ribosomal RNA", at positions 356 to 774 of the family's 1533-position model. The record is from RNAcentral. Lineage: Bacteria; Pseudomonadati; Pseudomonadota; Betaproteobacteria; Burkholderiales.